This is a long non-coding RNA of Rhododendron vialii, 2264 nucleotides long. RefSeq lists it as uncharacterized. NCBI's taxonomy places the organism in Eukaryota, Viridiplantae, Streptophyta, Magnoliopsida, Ericales, Ericaceae. The record is from RefSeq and is a predicted model, not a curated record. The transcript is spliced from 3 exons.
GGAGAGAGGUGAUUUGAGCUAAAAUGGUGUUAUUAGUCAAUCAGGAUCUUUUCAAUGUCCUAAAAUUGCGUAUAUAAAGAAUUGGUUCAGUGCUAAGAUAGAACUGGAUCAUAUAUGGGUCAAGAGAUCUUCAAUCAGGAGUGAAUGGGCUAGGACAUGUCUUGAAGAGCGUCUCUCUUUUCACCUUUUGCAUUACAUUCACUUCAAUGCACUCAACUAACUUAACUACCAGCCCAUUAAGGAAAGGAAUGUCAGUCGUAGACCCCGACAAUGAACUUUCUCUUAAUAUACGUUAUUCAUUGUACAAGGCUUGUUCGCUUUAUUUCGGAUGAUGCCAUUCCACCUUACCCGGAAAAUGUGCAGGUUUCCUCAAUGCAAUAGUGUCUCGAUUCGGAUAUCAAAGAUGUGACUUGUAUACCUUUUUAGUUUGACUCUGCUAGCUCAUAAGCUGAUGUAUGUAUCAACAAUGGUAGCUCAAAUCCCCUUUGGAUUCAUGGAAUGUGACCUGGGACACUGUGGGAGUUUGCCUGCCUCAUUAGCAAAAAGAUUACCAGAGUAUAGCACUGUUUGAUGGAUGUUGCCCCAACAUCUAGAAAGUGCAAAAGGUUCCUCUGUUGAGUUUAUAAUUAUGCAAGAUAGUGCAUGAUCAUUCGGGGCUGUUAUGUUGUGAGGCGCUAUCUCCGACUAGUGACACUUUGGAAAAGAAGACUCAAGAUGAAUCAAGGUACAUCAUAUUUUGAAAGUAUAACCUGAACAUAUAUACUAUUUCUGAGAAUUUCGACGGUGCAAUCAACCAUGUUGCCUUCCCUUUAAUCCAUACACCCUGCAAGCGUUUGCGAUCUUAAGCCAUUGCCGAAUGAGGAGACAGACUAAAUCACUCGAGCUUCCAAGCAUACAGAAAGAGGCAGAACUCUGACGCUUUCGAAUGACUUUGAGUCGAGUAGUACCUGCUGUUGCUGCUACUGCAGUCGCUGCUGUCACCACCGCAGCUGCUCUCGUCGUUUUCGUUUUCUAAUUCCGGUUGGCCAGGCUUGAAGAUGAACAACCCGUGGCCGGACCCGGUCGGGCAAAAUAGCCAAGCGUGCACAUCCCAAAAAACUUGCACAGGUAACUUGUUCAUCAACACUGUCUGAUUUCCCCUGAAUUUCCACUGCAAGUUCCGUACAUGGAUCAACACGAUCCCGUCUAUGCUAAUCCACAUUUCGGGAUCUCUGGGCCCUGCCGUCGAGCUCUCUACAACAAUCUCAUGUUCUUCUGAUUUCUUCGGAUCAAACUUGGCUCUCGUCGAGAAACUUCUCUUGUUGAACACAUGCUCCUUCUUGUAAAAGAGGAGGGCUUCAACUAGGGCAGGCCUGGACUUGGUUUUUUUGUAGGCCUUGUUCUUGUAAUCCCCUAGCAACAACACCACCUCUUCAUCAGAAACUAAUGCGACGUAGAAAUCUGAACACGGCUCUGGACCACCGGAAAAUUUAGCAGAGCGCAAGUCCCAGUAAAUUUCUACUUGGUCACCGUCUACCUCAAAAGUCUUGUUCCCCUUCUUGCACCAGAAUUGCCACGGCUUAAGGUCUAUCUUGCAAGAGUGAUGCGAAUCAGUUUCUACGCUAUCGACAGAAAUAGUGAGAGAGUGGUUCGUCAAGUUUUUGCACCACAAAACCGUGACGUUGCGCCAAAAACCGGCAAUGUGUGUUUGGUAGACGCAUGUGACGGAACUCUGGGCAGUUUUUUGUGUCACUGGAUCCUCCGUUAUUUUCUGCGCUAAAGGUGGGUCGGAGUAGGAGAUCGAUUGGGCUCUCGUGGAAGAUAUUCGGGAAUCCAUAAGGAGCUGAGCUAUCUGGAGCCGCACAAAUGCGUAGACGACGAGAUUUGCUGAAGGGUAAGCAGCAGCGGCAUGGCGACAAAUGUCAGUGGUUUUCCGGAGAAACAAUGUGCAUUGGGCGGGGUAAGGUCGCCGGAGGAAGACGACGGUCGAGAGAUUUGGUCAAAGAAGACGAAGAAGUUCUACCAUGAAAACUUUGUUUUUGUGGAGAAAAAUUCUCCAGCAAGAGGCUGUGGGCAAGAGAUGCCCGGAAAACAAGGGAUCAAAGAAGAGGAGAAGAUUCCACAUGUUCUAAAUAUAGACUGUUUCCUAUUUGGGUGGUGUUUCAGGUGUAGUACUCUUCUUAGUAACUACUAUGUUAUUGAACUGCUGAUUAGAUUGCUUUCCAUCUCGAGCUAUUUGGAAUCUAAUGAUCAUGUUCAAGCGGUCAUGCUUAAAUUUGGGUUUA